Molecule: long non-coding RNA, 1844 nt
Organism: Cydia splendana
Lineage: Eukaryota; Metazoa; Arthropoda; Insecta; Lepidoptera; Tortricidae
Exons: 2
Source: RefSeq, a predicted model, not a curated record
UGGAACGCACUUAUCAAUCUUAGCAUUAUCACCAAAGAAUAUAAUACUGAGAUUAUCACUAUUAUCAGUCAGCUUGCUCAUUGAGCUUAUCACUAACUAAAUUGUUUUGGAUUCUGUUAUGUUAUGAAACUUAUGAAUAUUGUGCAGUGUAAUAUUAUGUUUGAAAGUUACAUACACAAAUCAUGAACAAAAUAGCAAGAAAUUUUACUAAGCCAGACGUUGUGAAAAAUUUGAAGACCAUUCUACAAUGCACAACUUUUUGCACUCUUUGUUUUGAUACCAAAGAAGAAUUACUACAUUUGGACCAUGUGCUGGUAACAGAAGACUUAGAACAAGAAAAGAUAACUCUUAAAGAACUACUUGAAGCUAUAUUUGGAAAUAUUCAAGACUUAGUUACAAGUGAGUACAUCUGCGAACCAUGCAAAUCCCUAACAUUCAGCAGUUAUUCUUUCAUUCACAAAACCAAAAAUAAUGUCCAUGUCUACAACAAGUACCUCAAGCAACUUCUCAAUGAGACCUCGGAACUGUCGGCAAGUUUCAGCAAUGAUUGGAAAAGAGCUGUAAUUGUUUUAGACAAUUAUAACAAAAUAGAAAAACCUAAAUCCAAGGAGAUAGAAAAAUAUAUUUGUGAUAAGUGUGGAAAAGAUUAUACACGGAAGAGUUUUCUGAUAAAACAUUUAAAGAGACACAAAAUUGAUUCCAAAAUUUUUAGCUGUCCUCACUGUGAUAGAUGGCCAUGCAUACACGAGGAAUACAUACAAGCCUUCAAUGAACAGCGGCAGUUGAAAACCAAACCAAUCUCUUGUUUAUGUGGGUAUAAAUUUAGACAGACCCUACCUCAUCUUAUCGCUCAUGUUAAUAAAGACCAUUUGGAUAUAAAGCCAAAUACUUGUAAAUGUGGAAAGUCAUUUUACUUAGAAAAGCAGUAUUGGAAACAUUUUGAAUACUGUCAUAAUGAUAAGCAUGCUUGCAAAUCAUGUUUCCGAAAGUUCCCUAAUAUAAAGCAUAUGGAAACUUGUGGGGUAACUGAAAAACUGUUUAAUUGUGAUAAAUACCGGGAAACUAAACUUAUGCACCCUAAAAAACUUUCAAAAGUCAAAAGGAACAGAAUAUACAAAUGUCUUAUAUGCGAUAAAGUUCUGAAAACUAAAUUAGAAUUACGCUCACAUAUAAACAAUAAGCAUGAAAAGAAGCCUAACUUAUGUCUGUAUUGCAAUAAACAGUACAAUUCUAGGCAAGAAUAUCUAGAACAUGUUCAAAGUGAAGAGCAUAAAAGCAACAUACCAUACGCUUUUAAGCACCACUGUACUCACUGUGAGUACUCUGCAAAUACUCUAGAUAUGCUAAAAGCGCAUAUAAAUAGAAUUCAUCUAAAUGUCCGACCGUUUGAAUGUGAACAUUGCCAUAAACGGUACUUCGACAGUACUCAACUGAAAAACCAUGUGAAAACACACACCGGGCAGCAGAAACCGAAAGUUUGUGACAUAUGUGGGGCUAAUUUAGCCGGCCCAACAGCUUUAAAGAAGCAUAGAAGAUUACAUACUGGUGAAAACCCUUAUUCCUGUCCGUAUUGCGAAGUAAAAACUAACUGUGCGAGUAGUUUAAAAACUCAUAUAAUGCGGAAACAUAUGGAGCCAACUAUACAGUGUCCGCUUUGCGACCUGAAGUUCCAUACAAUGAACAAUGCUAGAGGACAUGUUAGGAAGACGCAUUGGAAGAGUAAGGAGAAGUUUGAUUAUACCAAGCUAAAGGGACUGUCGCCGGAUGAUUAUGAUUUCUUUAGAGAUAGGAGGAAGGCUGUUGUGUAAUGUAAACUUUAGUGUGAUGGAAAUAAAGAUCAUACA